RNAcentral lists this long non-coding RNA (606 nucleotides) under Hordeum vulgare. RNAcentral's name for it is "long non-coding RNA (HVUL_LNC011676)". Lineage: Eukaryota; Viridiplantae; Streptophyta; Magnoliopsida; Poales; Poaceae. The record is from RNAcentral.
CACAUCAAAAUAAUUUUACAAAUGCACAUCAGGAAACUUCUACAGAAAAAGGACCCAACAAGUGCACAAUCGCACAUAAAGAGAGUUCGACAAAGAUUCAAUAAGAAGCACAAGUUUCUUCUCAUCCUCUUCCUGUGCACAAUAUGCCAUUCUUGUCAUUGACACCUGCAAGAAGAAAAUGAUUAUUUGCCAUUGACGCAUGCAAGAAGGCGCGAUUCAUGACCACCACAUAACCAACGUAUAUCUUGUCAGUUUGACCCACACGGAAAAAAUAGAGUGAUGCAUUUCAAUUUAGGAAAAAAUAUAUACCUCUUCAACGUUCUCUUCAAUAUUCUCUUUUGCAUUUCAAUUUUAUAUUCAGCAAGUUUGCAUAGGCAGGCUUAUUGAUAGCAUGCUUAUUGAUAGCAUGAUAAUUACCAACCACGCAGACAAACGAAAAUACAGACAAAAAGAACAGCAGCAUCACGCAAGGACGGACUGUAGCAGCCUAACCAGACAUACACAUGGCACAAUGGACAUGAACGCAGAGCAACCACCAUAGUCGUGGUUCCGUGAAAACGACAAGCUCAGACCAACCACAAGACGCAGGGAUAAGAUUAAGGGAAG